This 75-nucleotide transfer RNA is filed under the name Candidatus Jacksonbacteria bacterium RIFCSPHIGHO2_02_FULL_44_25. RNAcentral's name for it is "tRNA-Arg". It matches the Rfam family "tRNA". Rfam says of the family: Transfer RNA (tRNA) molecules are approximately 80 nucleotides in length. RNAcentral also lists the same sequence under 4 other names. Lineage: Bacteria; Candidatus Jacksoniibacteriota. The record is from RNAcentral.
GUCCUCAUAGUUUAAUGGAUAAAACUCGAGAUUGCGGAUCUCGUGAUGCAGGUUCGAUUCCUGCUGAGGGCACCA